AACACACGAACGCACAUGCACACACACACAUAUACAUAAUGGUCCUUUUACAAAUGUACACACUGUGACAUAAUGAAUUCUGAGCCUCUUUCCCCAACCUUUUUACCUGACCCUGAAACCAGGUAUCAACCUUCAAACAUUUAGGUAAUAAUGCAAAAGCAGAUAUGCACUCAACACAAUGUUUUUUUUAAAACUGAAAUAGGUACUUUACAAAGAAAACAAGAUAUGCAAACACUGUUAAUUGGAAUAGGACUGUACAGCAAGUUGGGUGAAUUUUUUCUCCCCAGACUUUUGCUGGAAACAGCUCUGUAAAUUGUGGCUUUCAACCAGCUGGGACUAUGCAUUCGGAUCUUACUUUUUCCUCCAAAAUGAGUUUGCACUGAGAGGGUACCUUGAAUGUUAAGGGUUAAUGAUGAUGGAAAGGGACUGCAUUGCAUAUUUUAGAAGUCUAGCUUCCAAAAGUCCAGUGACUAAAACACGUGUUGUAACACCCCAGCUGUCAGGAGCUGCUGUCCUGCUGAUGACUGGGAAGAACAUGAGAAAGUGCAGAGGGAGGAGAGGAGGAAAUGCUCUAUUUAUUUACUGAGUAGUCAGGGCACUAAGUUAGGAAGACUUUCACAUAACCUACCCAUAUAUAAUCAACACCGGUCCUCCCCUGGGACCAAGAGACCAUCCAUGUUUCCCAGGGUCAGUUUCACAUGGGAGAAGGAGGGGGAGCAAGAGGAGUUAAGACAUAGCCCAUGGAAGACUUCAUGAAAAUACCCCGGACUCAGAAGAUGUAAACAACCCCCAACCAGUUCAACUCUUAUAACCACACAAACCACUUUAAACCAAAGUUUUACCAUUCAUACAGUGCUUUUAUGUGCAGCACUUUCUCUAUUGUGCAUCAUUCAUACACUGCUGGCACAGCUGUCAGGGGCAAUUUAUGGUUAAGUAUCUUGACCGAGGAUCCUUCAGAUUGUGAAAUGUGGGAAUAUGGGGAUCAACUUUCUGGUCAGGGGACAAACUGCUCCAUCUCCUAAGCCACAGCCGCCCCCUACUUGACUUGAUAUCUUUCCUUUUCAGCAAGUGUAUAUUUCUCAUCAUUGUCGUGUUAAAACACUGAACCAUCAUAACAGCCAUAACUUCCUGUGCCCCUGGACUCCCACCAAAAAUCCUCUCUAAGUUCCUUACAGCACCCCCUAAUAACAGCCUUAAUGUUCUGCGUUGCACUCCACUAUGACAGGGUCCUGUAGCUCUGAUCAAGCACCAGUGUUUGACUCCCUGUUCAGCAUUGCCAUUUUUGUGUCGUACAAUGACUGUUUCUGUGUCUUUGUGUACGAAACUUUGACAACACCACUUACUAAGUCACUGCACUAUUAAAUCAUUUUAUACAUACAUAUACAUUCAAAUAUAAUUUUUUUACAUACAUGAGAUUGUGUGUAUGUGUGUGUGAGUGUGUGUGUAGUUUGACAGACAGAUGGAUACAAAUUGAGAAAGGGCUUCCUGUGUGUGUUUUACAGAGCCAAGGAGAAACAGAAAUAUGACCAUAUUAGGCAAUGUUUGGCUCAACAACAGAGAUGGCUCUGACUGUUAUCACAGCCUGUCUUAACAGACACACACACACACGCACGCACGCACACACACACACACACACACACACACACACACACACACACACACACACACACACACACACACACACACACACACACACACACACACACACACACACUCACACUCACAAUCUCACAUAUAUACAAAGUAAAAGAAGACUUACUAGUGCUGUGAUUUUUAUGGAGUUACAGUUUCUGUGUAAUCCGUUCUGGAACACUGCGAAGAAAGAGGUAGGGUGCAAGUAGAUUCGGUUUUGUGCUCUCCUUAAAUGGUAAAAAACGUGUAAAUCUGAUCCUCCUGUGGUAUGGCUGACAUUUGUCUCACACAAUUUUCCAUCUUAAGCCAGCAUAGAUGACAAGGAUCAUAGACAUAAUUAUCUACACAUACCAGGCUUAGAAAGAAUAGUACAACUGCUAGAUUUAUACCUACACAUAGAAUAUACACACAAGCUCACUUAACUGCAUCUGUCCCCUCAGAGCGCUGCCUAUGUGUGCUCAUGCCUAGAAACAGAGAAACAGGCAUCAGGUGAUGUGAACAAAACAGACCAUGUAAGAGCAAUACACACACAAACACAGACACAUCGGCGUAAUGCAGUCCAUAGCCGUUUACCCUCCCCUAAACACUUAUUUAAGCCCUAUGAGACAAAUUGUGAAUUGCUGAUAUGGGCUGAUAUGAUGAUUGAUUGAUUGAUAACUAAAUGCCUAACCCUAACAUAUAAACUACUGUCAGCCCCAUCGUCUGUUUUGAUACUAGGGUGAAACAUGCAGGUGCUUAACAGAGUUUUGCGAGUGGAGCCUGAGUGUCCCUCAAACCGCACACACCUCAGCUCCACAGUUAAGCCAUAAUCCACAUCUGAGGAUCCUCUCUUUGAACCAACAAGUAAACUUUGAUUCUCAUUUCAUAUUUAGCUAAAACAUACAAAACAACAGAGAGCUUCACAACUUGAAUAAUUAUUGUCCUAGUAUUUGAUUUCCAUUGCCUUACUAAAUUUAAUUAAAUGUAUUAUUACUGAGAAUGUUUUCCUUUUUACAGUAUUCCUGGCAUGCAAUUUAAAACCAUCCGUACCUGGGUAGCGGCUCUUUUUAAAUGGGAAUAAAGUGGGGUUGAGGAGAGUGAACAGGAGUGGCCAAUGCCUGGAUAAGAAGAGGCUAGAGGAAUUGAACUCGGCCACUCCCCUCCUGCUCUGCACUUCCUCACUCCUCUGAUUCCUUCACCGGCUCCACCCACUGACGCACCUGUCUUCCAUCUUCUCAUUAGUCUCCCCUGUAUAUCUGCAUGCCUGUUCCCUUUGUCCUCUGCCAGAUCUUUUAGUGUGUACGUGCCUAAUCUGUCCAGUGUUUACCUCCUGAUUCCUUUCCUGCCUGAUCUCCACCGUGACCUGUCUGCUUUUUCUCUGGACUCCUCUUCUGCCUGCCCCUUGUCGGUUUUGUUUGCUUCGGACUGACUACCUGGCUCCUGACCACUGCUCUGUCUACCCUGGAUUAUCUCUGGCCGGCUCCUUAUUGGAUUUGUUUGCAUCGGACUGAUUGCCUGGUAUCUGACCCUUGCUACGUUCCAAUAAACCACGAACUUUGCUUAUUCCCACUCUGCCUCAUUGUCGUUUGCUUUUGGGUUCACGCCUGUCAUUCUGCCAGCCCUAACAUGUUCUAUUGUAUGAAAGGUUUAAAGCCAUUAACUAUAAGUUCCUCUCACUGUUUUCGGUAUUAAACUGAUAAAACAGGAAGAAGUUGUCCACUAACAAUGGGUACUAAAGGGAUUGCGUCAACCCCCUCCUAUUCUCCUCCUCCAGUUGAAUCGGAAAAAAAACGUUAACAUCUUCAUCUCUCAAUCUUAUGGGCGAUUUGAUUAACUGAAAUUAACCAGUGUUAAACAACAUGGUUUACCCUGCAGGUGCCAAAGAUCCACACAGAGUUUGGAAAAUCUGCUUUUUCUUACUGUAUUCAAGGUACACGUGUAAGUUGCAUGUGAUAGUAACUAAGUUUCACAAAUAUUCUGAUACAGGCUGGUAUAUCCACCAUUACUACUGCAUCUCGUUUAUUUAGCCUGUUAUGGAAUUUUGGAGUGAAUUAGACAGUUUAGACAGUUCUCAUAAUUAUAUAAUUAUGUUUUCACACUGAGGGAAGUGGAGAGACUUGAUGUGGACUGUUAUCAACAGCUCUGCUGGAGAUUAUCACCUUGAAUAUUACAGAUGAGGUAGAAAGACAUUUUAUCUAUUUGUAAAAUGUUUUUUUCUUUCAGUACUUUUAUCCCAAGCGACUUAAAAUAUGUGGAUUUAACCAUGAGGGUACAAUCACAGAGCCCAGUACAUCGAUUCUGUCUGACAUCUGUGGUGCUUCAUACACAACACAAAACAUUCUUUAUACUGAGUGUCUUCUUUUCAUUAGAUGAAGAACUGCAGCACCUAAUGUCCUCAGCCGCAACAUAGUGGAGAUCGGCAGCUUCAGGCUGGUCAACAUGAGGACGACUGCACCAGCUUCAUGUUUUCUGCAACUGUUUAAGGUUGGCAGAAAUUGCUAAGUGUCAUGGAUAAUAGAGUUAAUUUCUAUAGUCAUUAUGGUUGGUUAAAAAAUUGACACAUUAGAACAAUGUGUAUCUUCUGCUUUCUGAUUUGAUACACUUUAGAUGUUUGAUAAGAACCCAGUGUUUUAUUUUUCUUCUUUGCCAUAAGAGACAGAACACGGUCAUCAAAGCUGUGUCCUUCAGGCUUGUCAGUCCCUGAUAAAAUGAUAGGAAAUAUCAAAGUAUGGCAUUAUUGUAGAGGAAGUGUUACUUAUGAACAAAGUUUGUAUCCAUAUUUUCUGUGGAUAUUCAACUAUGUAUAUGAAUAUGCUUUUGGAUUAAACUGUGCACUACCAAGACAA
Long non-coding RNA from Platichthys flesus (European flounder), 4457 nucleotides. RefSeq lists it as uncharacterized. The transcript has 3 exons. Lineage: Eukaryota; Metazoa; Chordata; Actinopteri; Pleuronectiformes; Pleuronectidae. The record is from RefSeq and is a predicted model, not a curated record.